This 158-nucleotide unclassified non-coding RNA is filed under the name soil metagenome. RNAcentral's name for it is "partial internal transcribed spacer 1". The record is from RNAcentral.
CUGAGUUCAUGCUCUUACGGGUAGAUCUCCCACCCUUGAAUAUCUAAACCUUUGUUGCUUUGGCGGGCCGCUUCGGCUACCGGCUCCGGCUGGUGAGUGCCCGCCAGAGAACCUUAAACUCUGAAUUACAGUGUCGUCUGAGUACUAUAAAAUAGUUA